GGUUUGGAUAAAUGUGCCCAAAACUUUCAUUUACACUGUGCAAUCUAUUUACAGUGUAGAAACAGUUGGGAAACAUGUGAACAUUGCAAUGUACAUACAAAUUGAAUGAGCACUGCUAGACAACAUUACACAAGCAAACAUUCUCAAAUUCCAAAGGUGACAUUCAAUGUAUUGAUAACCUGAGAAGGUUAAAACACCUAAAGCAAGUUCUUAGGAAAUGGGGGACUCGUUAGUCUGAAUCAGUGUUCUGCAACUCCAAUGUCAGAGGGCAGAGGCUGUUUCAACACAGCACCAACCAUGUUGAUUUCUAAUAAUCAAGGGUCUUUAGCCAGAUGUUCAAAACUGCAAAGAAACAAUGAUUUUGGGCAAUUCAAUAUUAAACAAUCAUAUAAUCAUAAAUUCAUGAUGGAUACCAACACCCCCCCCACACACCCCUCCCCAGUUCAUUAUAAUAAUAAUAAAUUAAAGAUGGUAGUUGUGUCCUGUAAAACAAGUACUUAAAAAACAUAAACAUGAAAAAUCUGAUGAUUUAUACUCAGAAACAUUAUUUACUCAUAAACCCAUGAGUUUCCAUGUGUCCUUUCAGUGCAUUUUCCUCACUGUUAUUUCUGCAGUUGAAUUAAUCGGUCCUUUGAACAUGAUGUGUUUUUGGAAGGAUUUCAUUUUCAGAGAUUGAUGCCUCUCUUUGAAGCCAUGUGAUAUAAAACAAUGUUUGAAAAUUGGCAGUCCCUAUUGAGAGGAAAGUAGGGAUUGGAGACAGACAUCCUUUCAUGUGACGGAUGUAACAGAAACCUAUAAAACAGGUGUCCCAAACAGGUGUGUGUGUGUGCUACCAUUUGCAACCUCUCUUUCAAAUUAUUACUUGAGUAGUAGGUGGGUAUUGAGAUAUUGUGGGAAAAUACUACACUUACAGUAUUUGUUGUAGAGAUUGGUAGAAAUCAAGCCACACACACAACUGGCGUAACAGACACUCCAGCCAGUCCACACAAGCUGGGUGUUUUUGAAAGUGUUUGGGACAGUUAAUCGCCUGAACAGGCAAAGUUGGAUCACAAGUAGAGGGAUGGACACAUACACACACAGUUGAUACUGUUUGAAUGCAUCUCUGGCCUUUUCCUCAGCUUCUUCAUUUAAUUAGCUGUCAAGUAAAGCAAAGAAAAACUAAACAGCACUUCAAAACAAUUUUUCCAAGUUUUACAUCCAAGGAAAUACAGCUCUGCGUUGUUGCACUUCCUUCUGGCAAUGACUGAAUCAGACUGAGUCUCUGUUCUCUUUUUGCUUCCUUGAUUUAGUGUUAAUGUCCCACCCAACACUCGUGGGGUCCAGACAAACGGCCCUACAGCAGUGUCCGGCUAUGAACUUCCUGAAUCGGGUUGGCCUUAAUAAGAGACUGUUAGAGUUAUUGACAGCAGAGAUGUAAAGUUACCAAGUACUUGGCUGUACUCACCAGUUUUGGGAAGUUCCUAAUUAAGACUGAAAUUACCAGGUGAAAGUAGUUGGUGACUGACCAGUGACUUAAAAUAAUAAUCUUUCACUCUUCCUUUUUAAUGUAUUACCCACUGGUUAAUUAUGAACUCCCUUUACCUGGUAAUUUAGGUCUUAAUUACAAACUUAGGUCUUAAUUACAAAGUGUUGAACACAGCCGAACACAGCAGAGUACUUUCACUUUGUACUUUUCAUACCUCUGAUUGACAGAUAUAGACAAACAUGAUAUAAAAUGACAGCAUUUUAUGUCUUGCCAAAACAAAUGAACAGAAAAGGCUAGAGAGCAAAGAGAUACUGCUAUACACCAG
Molecule: long non-coding RNA, 1790 nt
Organism: Esox lucius (northern pike)
Lineage: Eukaryota; Metazoa; Chordata; Actinopteri; Esociformes; Esocidae
Source: Ensembl